This 253-nucleotide ribosomal RNA is filed under the name uncultured bacterium. RNAcentral describes it as "partial 16S ribosomal RNA". It matches the Rfam family "Bacterial small subunit ribosomal RNA", at positions 524 to 776 of the family's 1533-position model. The record is from RNAcentral.
UACGGAGGGUGCAAGCAUUGAUCGGAAUUACUGGGUGUAAAGGGCGCGUAGGCGUCCGUAAAAGUCGGAUGUGAAAUUCCGGGGCUCAACCCCGGAGCUGCAUUUGAAACUUUAUGGAUUGAGGUUAGCAAGGGAAAACGGAAUUCCACAUGUAGCGGUGAAAUGCGUAGAUAUGUGGAAGAACACCGGUGGUGAAGACGGUUUUCUGUGCUAAACCUGACGCUGAGGCGCGAAAGCUAGGGGAGCAAACAGG